UCCGUAGGUGAACCUGCGGAAGGAUCAUUAGUGAAUUUUAGGGUGCCCUCUCGCCUAACUCCUUUAACUGGGUUGGCGUCAGAGGGGCCUGACCUCCACUUUCUACCCUGUGCACUAUUUCUAAAGGCGUUCAGAUUGAUGUUUGAAAGAACGUCGGUCUGAAACCUUUUCAAUUCAUAAACACGAGUCAAAGAAUGUAUUAUAAAAUCAUAACAAAAAAAACUUUCAACAACGGAUCUCUUGGCUCUUGCAUCGAUGAAGAACGCAGCGAAAUGUGAUAAGUAAUGUGAAUUGCAGAAUUCAGUGAAUCAUCGAAUCUUUGAACGCACCUUGCGCUCUCUGGUAUUCCGGAGAGCAUGUCUGUUUGAGUGUCAUGAACUCUUCAACCCGCCCUUUUCUUUAUGAUUAUGUGUCGGUGUUUGGAUUCUGAGCUUUUGCUACUUUACCGUAGCUGGCUCGUAAGACAUUAGCAUUUCAACUUUCGUAAUCGGAUUGACUUGGCGUAAUAGACUAUUCGCUGAGGACACUCUUCUCUCUUUUGGGAUUGAGUGGCCGAGAUAAGAAUUAACGAAGAGCUUCCAACCCCUCUAGUCAUUAAAAACUUUUUAAGAUUAGACCUCAAAUCAGGCAGGAUUACCCGCUGAACUUAAGCAUAUCAAUAAGCGGAGGA
Molecule: ribosomal RNA, 670 nt
Filed under: Chrysozyma griseoflava
Lineage: Eukaryota; Fungi; Basidiomycota; Microbotryomycetes; Chrysozymaceae
Description: eukaryotic LSU rRNA
Rfam family: 5.8S ribosomal RNA (bases 221-374)
Source: RNAcentral